Long non-coding RNA from Neocloeon triangulifer, 557 nucleotides. RefSeq lists it as uncharacterized. Lineage: Eukaryota; Metazoa; Arthropoda; Insecta; Ephemeroptera; Baetidae. The record is from RefSeq and is a predicted model, not a curated record. The transcript is spliced from 3 exons.
UUUAGAGCACAUUUUUGAUAAGUGUGCAGAGUGGGUGUGUUAUGGCCGCAGCCAGUGUUAUUUUUCUUCUUUUGUGCGGUGAAUUAAACGCGGAUGGUCAUUUUAAUACAACGUGCGAUGUGCAAGAAAAUUUCCAUAAGACGAUGAACUGCUUUGCAUCCGUUUUCGGCCAAAAGCUAGCUCAAGACGAGUAAAAAAUACGCCGGCGUCUGCCCUGCUAGAGCGCACCUCCAUCAUCACCGGGCCCCGUCGUAGCAAAAGGCGAUAGCGACAGCCGACUUGUUUUCCACUCGCGUCAUCUCUGCGCUCGCGGACUGAUUUUUUGAAAUUAUUUAAGUUCAAGUCAAUUCCUCGAUGGAGAGACUUUCUAUAAGAUCAUCUAUAAUGGAAACUCCGUUCAACCUCCUCUGAUUGUGAGCUACGGACUAUUACAGACAUCGUGACCUGCCAAGUUAGAACAAUUUGCUUUGAGGGAGAAGACAGUUCCACGCAGAUCCAUGCAGUGCAAUUAUUAUCCUUAUUUAUGAUUUCUAUACUGUAAUUGUGUUGUAUUUAAA